UCGGAUAUGGUGUAACGGCUAACAUUGCCGCCUCUCACCUAAUGUAGUGCGCGGCAGCUCGGGGUUCGAUUCCCCGUAUCCGAA
This is a non-coding RNA of Gymnopilus junonius, 84 nucleotides long. NCBI's taxonomy places the organism in Eukaryota, Fungi, Basidiomycota, Agaricomycetes, Agaricales, Galerinaceae. The record is from the annotation of a GenBank genome assembly.